CCACUUUCAUGGGUAUUUAUAUUGUGUGAUCGUUCCCCACCUGCGGCUACUUGUUUUUUCAUCCACUUUCAUUUCCAUUAAUUUAUCGUUUCUUUAUUAAGCACAUGUAAUUUCCCCUAUGUUGUCCUUGGUGUCAGUGUUUGUUGCCUUCUUAUGAGGUUGUCUACUAGCGUUGCUUGUGUAAAGAGUCCCUGGUGGUACCAUAGUGGCUUCAGAGACACAGUGCAGCCAGAGCGCCGGCAUCAACAAAUCACACGAGUGCAAUGUGUGCGGGCAUCAUUUCAUGCUCAUGGCCACUCAAUGGGGGAUGAUUGAGAAACCCCUCAGUUUCAGGCAACAAAAACUCUCCAAAGGGCAUCUGAACCUCAGUUCAAUUCCACACAAGAGCAGGUGCCAUUGCAAUGCUUGAGGGAAACCAAGCGUCAUGUAGCUGCACCCAACUGUGCUUUGCGCAUAAUGGCAGCGGCAGAGAGACAGCAAUGAAGAAGCAAAGUGGACUGAGCAGCCACGUGUGACAGUGUUCAGUGUUUAAGGAGGCAACCAGACUCGUACUAUUCCUGUGGCCAGAAUCCAGCAUCUGACUGCAGCUGUCAUGUUGUCUUAUUGGUGGGCUGCUGAUAUAGUGUGGAGCUGCCAUGUACAUACAAGUUUCAGUGUUUUUGGAAUUGAAACACAGAGGAAAGUGAUGUUUGCUUUGAAGGCAAGCUGAACUCCACUACGUUGAAGUGCUGUGCCUGCAAAGGAGACAAAGGAGGGUAAAAAAAAACCAGGUGCUGAGACUCAAUGACAGAACAUUCCUUUAUGACUUUUACAGCAAGCAUCACAGCAUAGGGUCAUGCAUGCGUAUAUUUGCCAGAACCUUUGAUGAUUGGGUGCAAACCGUAUUCCACACUUAAAAUGUAAUAUGCCUGACAUGUUAACCUGUUGAUGAGGAGUACACAAGUGUUUCUGCAGAGACUACCUAAUUCUGAAAAACAGCGCAGUAGAGGCAUGGAAACUUCUUUUUUUUUUUCAGUGAUGCUAUAAUUGCACUUGUGGACAUUACACACUGUAUGAUAAAUGCUUACUAUAUUAUUGAACAUGUGGUAUCGUGACGUUGUAGUGACGGUGGACAUGUGCCAAUAUGUAAUUGACAUUCAAUUAAUUACUUUGAAGGUAAAAUGCCACAAUUGCUGUUUGAAGCCAGUCAGUGCUGCAGGCAUGUCCCUUUAGUAGGUACUCUGAGAUUACAAGAUUGGACGUGAGCUUUGAACUUGCGCAGUAGCUAUGGCCUUUUGCUGCUCAGCAUAUGGUUGAGGGUUCGAUUCCUGGAAGUGGUGGUCAUAUUUUACUAAGAAAGUGGGGGGAGGACUGUAGAAACACUCGUGUAUCAAGCUUAGGACGCAUGCUUAAGAAAUGCCUGGUGCUUAAAAUUAUUCCAGAGCCCUCCGCUACAACAGCUGCUGAAUUUCUUUAGAACAUUGAACUCCAUUAGUCAAUCAGUCCACGUAUUUGCACUGAAAUACAUUCGUGUAGUGUCACAUUUAUUGUUUGACUAAAAAAAAUUUACCUUAGGCACUGCAGAACAAAACAGUGUUUAAUGCACACGCUUUGUAUUUUGCGAAUGUUUUAAGGAUAGAUAUUUUGGGACUGUUGGUAAUCUUGGCACCCCUAGUAGGUGGACAUGCCUUGAGCACUAACUAACUUCUAUUCAGCAGGUGCAAGCUGUUCUUUAAAGCAUAUAAAAAAAAGUAAUUAGUGAGCCUUAUUUAAAUAGUUAACCAGUGAUUAUCACACAGGUUUUGAUGUCUGCAGGUUUAAAUAAAGUGUUGCUAAAAGAUGCUG
Dermacentor albipictus is the source of this 1824-nucleotide long non-coding RNA. RefSeq lists it as uncharacterized. Lineage: Eukaryota; Metazoa; Arthropoda; Arachnida; Ixodida; Ixodidae. The record is from RefSeq and is a predicted model, not a curated record.